Molecule: microRNA, 22 nt
Filed under: Blattella germanica (German cockroach)
Lineage: Eukaryota; Metazoa; Arthropoda; Insecta; Blattodea; Blattellidae
Description: Bge-Novel-11_3p* (star (passenger))
Source: RNAcentral
AAUGGCUAUUGUUAUGUCCUCG